GCGCGUCAACAUAGCAAUAUGUGGCAUACGGCUCAGUAACACGUAGUCAACAUGCCCAGGGGACGUGGAUAACCUCGGGAAACUGAGGAUAAACCGCGAUAGGUCAUCACUUCUGGAAUGGGUAAUGACUUAAAUCUACAUGGCCCCUGGAUUGGACUGCGGCCGAUCAGGCUGUUGGUGAGGUAAUGGCCCACCAAACCUGUAACCGGUACGGGCUCUGAGGGGAGGAGCCCGGAGAUGGGCACUGAGACAAGGGCCCAGGCCCUAUGGGGCGCAGCAGGCGCGAAACCUCUGCAAUAGGCGAAAGCUUGACAGGGUUACUCUGAGUGAUUUCCGUUAAGGAGAUCUUUUGGCACCUCUAAAAAUGGUGCAGAAUAAGGGGUGGGCAAGUCUGGUGUCAGCCGCCGCGGUAAUACCAGCACCCCGAGUGGUCGGGACGUUUAUUGGGCCUAAAGCAUCCGUAGCCGGUUCUACAAGUCUUCCGUUAAAUCCACCUGCUUAACAGAUGGGCUGCGGAAGAUACUAUAGAGCUAGGAGGCGGGAGAGGCAAGCGGUACUCGAUGGGUAGGGGUAAAAUCCGUUGAUCCAUUGAAGACCACCAGUGGCGAAGGCGGCUUGCCAGAACGCGCUCGACGGUGAGGGAUGAAAGCUGGGGGAGCAAACCGGAUUAGAUACCCGGGUAGUCCCAGCUGUAAACGAUGCAGACUCGGUGAUGAGUUGGCUUAUUGCUAACUCAGUGCCGCAGGGAAGCCGUUAAGUUUGCCGCCUGGGGAGUACGGUCGCAAGACUGAAACUUAAAGGAAUUGGCGGGGGAGCACCACAAGGGGUGAAGCCUGCGGUUCAAUUGGAUUCAACGCCGGG
RNAcentral lists this ribosomal RNA (861 nucleotides) under uncultured archaeon. Its description in RNAcentral is "bacterial SSU rRNA". It matches the Rfam family "Archaeal small subunit ribosomal RNA", at positions 53 to 922 of the family's 1478-position model. The record is from RNAcentral.